UACGUAGGGUGCAAGCGUUAUCCGGAAUUAUUGGGCGUAAAGAGCUCGUAGGCGGUUUGUCGCGUCUGCUGUGAAAACUGGAGGCUCAACCUCCAGCCUGCAGUGGGUACGGGCAGACUAGAGUGCGGUAGGGGAGAUUGGAAUUCCUGGUGUAGCGGUGGAAUGCGCAGAUAUCAGGAGGAACACCGAUGGCGAAGGCAGAUCUCUGGGCCGCAACUGACGCUGAGGAGCGAAAGCAUGGGGAGCGAACAGG
Molecule: ribosomal RNA, 253 nt
Filed under: uncultured bacterium
Lineage: Bacteria
Description: partial 16S ribosomal RNA
Rfam family: Bacterial small subunit ribosomal RNA
Source: RNAcentral